This 601-nucleotide ribosomal RNA is filed under the name Pelecotomoides sp. NLG-2012. Its description in RNAcentral is "eukaryotic LSU rRNA". It matches the Rfam family "Eukaryotic large subunit ribosomal RNA", at positions 670 to 1262 of the family's 3401-position model. Lineage: Eukaryota; Metazoa; Arthropoda; Insecta; Coleoptera; Ripiphoridae. The record is from RNAcentral.
CGGAGUCUAGCAUGUGCGCAAGUCAUUGGGAUUAAACCUAAAGGCGUAAUGAAAGUGAAAGUUUAUUAAAAUUGCCUAAGGGAAGAUGGGUUAAUGCCUCGCAUUCCCAGGGCGUCUUAUUCUCAUUAUGAGAAGAGGCGCACCAAGAGCGUACACGCUGGGACCCGAAAGAUGGUGAACUAUGCCUGGUCAGGACGAAGUCAGGGGAAACCCUGAUGGAGGUCCGUAGCGAUUCUGACGUGCAAAUCGAUCGUCGGAACUGGGUAUAGGGGCGAAAGACUAAUCGAACCAUCUAGUAGCUGGUUCCCUCCGAAGUUUCCCUCAGGAUAGCUGGCGCUUAAAGCGCAAAAGUUUCAUCCGGUAAAGCGAAUGAUUAGAGGCAUUGGGGUCGAAACGGCCUCAACCUAUUCUCAAACUUUAAAUGGGUGAGAUCUUCGGCUUGCUUGAUUAGAAUUAAAGUGCCAAGUGGGCCAUUUUUGGUAAGCAGAACUGGCGCUGUGGGAUGAACCAAACGCUGAGUUAAAGCGCCUAAAUCGACGCUUAUGGGAUACCAUGAAAGGCGUUGGUAACUUAAGACAUCAGGACGGUGGCCAUGGAAGUC